Molecule: ribosomal RNA, 512 nt
Filed under: uncultured bacterium
Lineage: Bacteria
Description: bacterial SSU rRNA
Rfam family: Bacterial small subunit ribosomal RNA
Source: RNAcentral
AGCGGUACAGGUGUAGCAUACAUGCUGACGAGCGGCGAACGGGUGAGUAAUGCUUUGGAAUCUUCCCAGUAGUGGGGAAUAACCAGUCGAAAGAUUGGCUAAUACCGCAUACGUCUGUAAAGGGAAAGCGGGGGCUCGUAAGACCUCGCGCUAUUGGAUGAGCCAAAGUCGGAUUAGCUAGUUGGUGGGGUAAUGGCCUACCAAGGCGACAAUCCGUAGCUGGUCUGAGAGGACGACCAGCCACACCGGAACUGAGACACGGUCCGGACUCCUACGGGAGGCAGCAGUGGGGAAUAUUGGACAAUGGGGGAAACCCUGAUCCAGCGACGCCGCGUGUGUGAAGAAGGCCUGCGGGUUGUAAAGCACUUUUAGUGGGGACAAAAAGCUACGGAUUAAUACUCUGUGGUCUUGAUUUAACCCAAAGAAAAAGCACCGGCUAACUCUGUGCCAACAGCCGCGGUAAUACAGAGGGUGCGAGCGUUAAUCGGAAUUACUGGGCGUAAAGCGCGCGU